Canis lupus familiaris (dog) is the source of this 7215-nucleotide long non-coding RNA. RefSeq lists it as uncharacterized. The record is from RefSeq and is a predicted model, not a curated record. The transcript is spliced from 8 exons. Lineage: Eukaryota; Metazoa; Chordata; Mammalia; Carnivora; Canidae.
CCAAUACUCAUCUUGAAAUAAAAGUGGGCCUCUCCCAAAGCCAACAUAAUCUAAAGAUCUAAUAAAUAUUACGAUUCACUUGGAUUUUAAGCCUAACGACCACAGACAAAAAGGUCCUCUCUCACAAUCGUCCUAUCUGCAGGAGGAGAUAAAAUGUGCUCUCCACACCCCCCUGCCCUAGACGGGAGGCCUGGCGCGCCUCCUGCCAGAGUGGAGGGCUCUGAAAGGAUGCGUAGACACUCGAUCUGAAGCACAAAGAGCUGAAAGAGCAGAGAGCCACGUCCGUCCUGCGCACAUUUCUUUUUCAUUGUGUCCUUCAUUUGAUCCACGCACCAAGUAUCUCCAUUAGCGCCCACAGGACUCCCGGGAGCAGAGCAAAGGGACGAUGUUCCAGCAAUGAAUCAUCUGGUUCCUGAGCGAGCCUCUGGUUUUCCUUGGAUCCCCACGGCUGUAGGUCUCGGAUCCUCCUGUCCCUUUUUACCUGUGCCUUCAGGCAGGGGUUCAUGUAUAAAGCCCCAGCAAGCGAGAACUUUGAAUCGAGGGCUCGGUGGGGAGUGAGCCAGGUUCAGGGGCUGGCUAAGGUCUGCUUUUGUUCUGAGAUUAAUUAGAGUUGCAUUUUCCCCCGCCAAGUGUCACCGAAACAGUAGCACUAAGGCCGUGGGAGCAGACCUCACCUAAUUGUACAUCUUCCCACUUCUUGUCACAAGAACGCAGAUUGCCCAUUUGCUGGCAGUGCACUGAUGCAUGGGCUCUGUUUACUUGACCUGCAGUCCUGAAUGGCUCUGUCCUAGUCAGUCGGGGCAGAACAGGCUCCUCAAGAGGUCUAGGGUGCUGGAUCCCCAGGCAUCUUGUUGGAUCAGAGUUAAGGACAAUGAGAGAGGUCAGCAGAAAAGAAGCCGUUCUUACCUGGCCUGGCUCUUUCUCUCCCUCCACAUCUCCUUACCCCUAAUCAGCCCUAGGUUUAGACUUCCAGAGAGAAGAGGAUGGGAUGAGGAUGCCGGGUCUGAUGAGCACUGCUGAGGCAAGCGCAGGAGAGGAGUGGAGCUCAUUCGUGGAGCUCCACAUUCUGUGGCUCGGAAGGCCCAAGACCAGGCAAGGAUACCGGAGGCUCAGGAUGUUUUGUCCCACUCUGGGAUAGCCUUGGACACAUCGAGGGUCUAGAACUGCUGACCCAGGACCACCACUACUCUAGAAGAGACCUAACUAGAACCAGCCCGUAGGUGCAAUGACUUCUUUCUCUGGAUUCACCCCGGUGUCUCUCAUCAUUUGGCGGCUCCUGCCGGAGGUCAGGGGCCUUUAGCUAGGCCGAGAACCAUCUCUCCAACCAUGUACCAGCUGUAGAUCUUGGGGCAGUUACUUAACCUUGAUGUGUUUCAUCUGGAAAAUGGAAAUGAUAGCUCCCCGAUGAAAUAAUGCAUUUUGCAAAAGGUUUAGCAACGUGCCUAGUUUGGGGCAAGCCCUCAAUCAGUGGUCACCGUUCUUCUUGUUACCCAUUUUUCACAGUAAUACUGUGAAAAAGUAUAAUAAAUACUGUUAUUUUAGUAUUAUUUACUAAAACAGUCUGACCCGUCCCCACAUGUUCUAUGCCCCCUUGGCACCGAUGCCAGGGGUCGCUGGAGAAGGCUCUGCGGGGAAGCCUGAACCUUAGGAAGUGGUGGCCGCUCCAGUGGUGUGACGUCAGAAUGUUCUGGGCUUGGAAGAAAAGGUUUCCUCUCCGGGCUGCCUCUGCAUAGAAAAGAAGGGAGAGGUGAGGAACAAAUCUGUUUACUUUUUCUUCGCUGUAGAGUAAAUGAGGUUUGUUGAGCCAGCACACGGUUGUUUGCAGAACUCAGGUUUUCCAAGAAUGGGGGCUUGUGAAUGGAGGCAGUGAUAGCAUGGGUUCGCCCUCUUUCCUCCUACAUGCAGCCCCAGAAUUUGCCAAGACCGGCUUUUCUGUGCUCCUCCGGCCAGUGCCAGUGCCACAGGACUCCCUCCGCAUGCCCGCAUGGCCUCUGCUCUGCCCCCCUGGUGGGCGGGAGGACACAUUCACAGACGACAGCUCCAGGAAAUCAGGAAAUAAGCCCGUCUCUGACCCAGAUUUGGCAAUUCCAAGCUAAAUUCUUUAAACAUUUGGAAGGAUUGUAGAGAAGGAAAACAGCUAAUAACUGUAUUCCUUACUGAAAUAUUGGAAUGAAAAUGUGAAGAAUGUAUCAAGGGUAUUUGUAGACCUUCAGCUGGGAUCCCCCGAGUUCUAAACCCGAGAGUGAAGAGUCUGUGCUGCAAAGCCUCCGUGACAGCCAGGCACCCCCAAAGGUAGAGUCCAAGCCCCUCUGCACGAUGCACAGAAUGUUCCAUCAAGUGCCACCUGCCGCCUCUCCAGCCUUGGACAGAGGCUGGAUGGUGACUAAGAGACCUUCCAGUAUUCAUAGAUUUGGAUUCAAGUUUUCAAGCAAAACUCGGGCGUGAAGAAGCUGUCGCCCAAGGAGAAGGGUGGGCGCUGGGGGAGGCUCAAGCAUGACCCCGGGGUGCUCAGUGUGUAGGCACUGCAGGCUGCUCCAGGAGAAGGUCCGUGGAAGAGCGGGGGUCUUAGAACUUGAUUAUUAACUAAAAGAUUAAAUCGUAUUGAAAGAGAACCAGAUCCUGAGUUUCCCUUUUAAUUCUGCUGCUUAUUACCAGUGUGAACCUGGGUGAGUUACUUAUGAUGCCCAAGCCCUAUUUCCUUCCCCAGUAAUAAUACCUGUCUAACCAACCCCAUGUUUUGUGAGAUUAAGUGCAGUUUGUAACUGUAAAGCACUACACCAAUAUGAGUGAUGAUUACUUUCACCAUAAUUCUGGGGCUUCAGAAGAAACAAUGACAAGGUGAUCGAUUAUUUUCAAGGUCCUUAGAAGAAGAGGAAUAAACAAAAAUACUUAAAAAAAUAAGUGACUUCUGAUAAUAUAUAUAUAUUUUUUAAAAAAUUAGCAGACUCAGGCUAGGAAGGGUUCAUUGUAGAGGGAGUUUCAGAGACCAAGUAUAUUAAUCAGGAUGCUUCAGAGAAACAAAACCAAAGGAUAUAUAUCUAUAUGCUACCCUUACAAAAAGUUUAAAGAUUGAGACACAGAUGGUGACAGGGUUAGAAAGAGAGAGAUUUGUUUAAGGCCUUGGCUCAGGUGAUUUUGGAAGCUGGAAAGUCUGCAGCAGCCUGGUGACCCAGGGAAGAGUUAAUGCUGCAGCUCUAGUUCAAUUCCCUGUUCUUCAGAGCUCCUGUCUUUUCUUUUAAGGCCUUCAACUGAUUGGAUGAGCCCCACACACAUUACAAAGAUAAUCUACUUUACUUGAAGUCUUCGGAUACAAAUGUCAAUCCUAUCUUUAAAAACCCGUUACAGCAGCAUCUAAACUGGCAUUUGACUAAAUGUCUCGAUACCAUGUCCUAGCCAGGUUGACACAUAAAAUUAACCACCACGGCAAGUAAUCCAGCACUGCCACUCAGGGUAGUUUUGCAGGUUCUCAAAGACCCUAGCAGGGUGGAGACCAAACAAAUAACAUGGGGACCAGCUGAGUAAUCUCAGGACUUCACUGGAUGCUGAAGGGCAAAUGGAAAAGCAUUAAAGAUAGAAGACAUUGGGCCAGAUUGCUGAAGAUGGUGCUAAGGGUGGGUAGGAAGGAAACAAGUACUAUCGCUAGAGCCGUCAGUAAGAUAGGCAUGAGCAGGAAGGGAGAAGGGAGGAUGGAGAUGGGAAAUUGCAGAGACCACCCAAUCUCCGCCCAAAGACCAACCCCUUUUAUGGUUUAGCACAGUCUGAUAAACAGAAGACAUGGGCCACUGGGACCGUCCAACUUUGGAGCAUGCGCACGUAAGAAAAACCUUGUCCCUAAUAUUCUCAAGGCUGUUAUAAUAUCAUUAUGAUAUCAUUUGCACUGAGACUUUGCCCCACCCUCACCCCCACCUCCACCCCCACCCCAUGGGUUUCACUUAGGAGCUCGUCAGAAGAUGGCCAACUUGAACACCUGCAAAAGGUUGGAGGGGAAGAAACCAGGGGGAGGGAUCUAAGAGGUGGUGUGAUGGUGACAAGAUGGGACAGAGGAGACCAAAUAGACCCACAUAAGAAAACGCAAAGCAGAAGUCAUCAGGCUGCUCCCCACCCUCAGAAUUCUUUCCUUUGAGAAGACAAGAACUAAGGAAUUCCACAGUCCACCACCAGGUAACACAACGAGAAGGGAGGCCGACAAGUAUUUCAGAAGCUGCUUCAGCAGCAGCUGAGUCCAAGCAGGACCAAGUGCUGGUGGAGGGGAGGCCUAAGCAGUCUCCGCUACAGGAAGGAAUGCUGGAGAGGACAAUAAAAGGCAGAAGCGGUCAUUUGUCUUUCAGCAUGAAUUCCAAAUUGUUGAGAACCAAUACUUGAAGCGUCUGAUCCAAAAACUCCAGGAAAAAGCUCUCCUGUUGUCCUUCAGUUCUGAAGACCAGAAGUCCAAGAUCAAGAUGUCAGCAAUACUGGUGUCCGGUGUGAGCCCUCUCCUUGGUUGCAGAUGCCUGCCAUCUCUCUGUGUACUCUCUGUGCGCAGAGGAAGCAGGGGCAGGGAGCUGCUAAGGGACAUAUCCCUUUGGCUUGGAAUCCAGAAAACAGGGACAUGGGACUGGAGAUGUUCCAGGAUAACUGAUGUGUACCAAGUUAAAGAACACCAGUCCACUUUGGAGCUGGAAGGAAAACCGUAAGAAAACUAGGAACCUCUAUUAUCUCUAUGAACUACAUUAUUAACAAAAAGUUUAAUUAAAAGGACACCCUCAUGUUGUGCAGUCCAGGUAAAUUUCUCAAGAAGCUCUGUCAGGUUGGAGAGCCAGUCCAGGUUUACUUUGGCCAGCUCAUCUGAGUUCUUUCUGUAAUGGUGAGCAUAAAAACUGGACAGUGCUACAGAAGGCUCAAGAAAUACAGAGACAUCAAGAAAUAGCUGAGAUUUCAUCUAGACACUCAAAUUAGACUCCCACAGUGAAAUUAAAGCUUUCCUCAAGGUUGCUCAUCCUUAUAGAUCCUCGGAAGCUUUGUACUUGGGCUUUGAGCUCAAGCAGGAAAAGAGAUGCCACAGAUUUCACCCAGAAAUGGUCUUUUUCACUCCAUCUCCAGGAGGUGGCUUUGUCUGUUGCUCCCUCAACUCACCGGAUGACUCAAUCACAAGGAUUAGACCUCGUCUUGCCGGAUCACUGGAGCAUGGCAAGCAGUUGUGUACGUCUGCUGUUCCUGUGCGGGCUGGUGGACAUGAGGUCAGCAGAGCCAGCAGUGAGAACAAGCCAAUGGUUGGGAAGUGGGGGCAGGUGAGAGCAGACAGGAGUCUGGGAGAAGGAGCUGGAAUCUGCUUCCCUUUCUCACUGGAACCCACUUCAGCCUCUCAGCACCUUCAAGUGUCCAGCUCCAGCAGAGAACUGGCACAUGUCACCAGAAAGCCCUCAUGCACCUGCCCUGGAGUCAAGGAGGCUCAAGGAAGAGUUCUGUGGAGGCUGGAGGAGCUGUGGGUGGGGCGGCUGCCUCACACCCGAAGAUGAGCUAACAGACCGCCCCCCAACCCCCCCAGCAAGCCUGAUCUUAUUACACUGGCAAACUUUAUGUUGUUCUCACUUUCUGCCUCAUUCAUGUAUUUAAGAAAUUGUUCCUGAAGGAAAAGCGAUAGUAGAGAUUGAAUAAAUAAAUGGAAAAGGUGCUUGAGACUUACCCACCCACCUCUGGGUAAAACCCUAUCUUUGUAGUCCCUGGGGUCUACUAAGACCAGUGGCUCUUCCAAAAAUGUCUUCUAAAUUCAAUCUCUUUUGGAAACUGGAAAAAUCAACCUUUUCCUAACAGUAUUGAAAGAGGCAAAUAAUCUUAGUGUUAUUAACAAGAUCAGUUAAACAACCCGAAUGGUAAACACCCCUUCCCAAGAAGGUUUGCAGUUUUAGUACCCUGUCUCUCACACCACGGAGAUUCUGAUCCUUCUUCUCCAGGAUUGCGAAUCAGAGCUCUACAGCAAUCAUUCCUAAGGCGGUGUGGCAAGACAGCCUCAUCUGAAUUAUCUGGCAAGAUUUUUUAAUUGCACCCAAAACCCCAUGACAAGUGGUCAGACAUAGAGGAGAAGGCCCUGGCAAGGAGAGCAGCAGGGACUAGAAUUACAUGGUCACAUGACGAGCAAUGACUGGAGCCACUAGAAGGCAGAGGGAGCAAGGAAGGAGUCUCCUCUAGAGCCUUUGGAGGGAUGGACGCCCUCCCUGGUCUACACUUUGGUUUUAGGCUUUGGAACUGUGAAACAACAGAUUUCUGUUUGUUUUAAGCCAUCAGGUUUGUGGCAAUUGUUAACGGCAGCCCCAAGAAACUAGUACACCCUGCACGUGUCCUCAUAACCCUGCAAAUGAAAGUUAAUGCUUGGUACAGAAGGGGCUUCCAGGAAACUGUUCUAGUAUCGUGGACAAGCAGCAGUUCUGAUGGGUUAGCAGUUCUGAUGGGUUCUUCCUGCAUAACAUCAUGCAGGAAGUUUAAAAAGAGAGCAAUGCCAGUUGUGAAAUACUUUGAAGAACACCCUGAAAAAAAGUGUAAGCGUAUGAUUGAGCCUCGUGCAGGUAAACAUUGAAGAACAAUAUAAAACAGAAAUGGUUUUGUUAAUGAUUAGGAAAUGAGCCCAGGUGGGAAGAAAGACCUAUUUUUGCAUUUUGUUCUCUUCUACACUGUUUGGAGUUUUAUUUUCCCCACGCAUAACCUAUUUUUUAAAUCCCUAAGAAAAAAAAUAAAACACCACGUAGUUCUGAUAACAGACAUGUUCGAGAAUGCCUGCAUUAGGGACCAGCUAAAAGAGGCACAAGAGAGUCAGCCCAAGGCAAAAUUCGGAAACACAUGAGGUGGUUCUGGGAGUUUCCAAUCUAGAUGAUUCUGAAGGUCAAGAAAGAAAGGUCAAAGAUCUGAGUAACCAGAGGUUAUCUGUUUCUAAGUUUCAUCACAUGUGAAGCCUCUACCAUCCCAGAAACAGCCAUAUUUUAGCCAGGUCUCUCUUCUCGGCUGGGAGGACCAUUCAUUCACGAAUACGGACACUGCUUUGCAUAUCAUUAUUUACGCCACUGCUUGCCUACCUCCUGAGGUGUUUAUGGUGAGGAGUAUCACAUAUAUAAAAUCACACUAAUGUUUUAUAUGAAAAGGAAAUCAUACUGAAAAGGAGAAAAGUCCAUGGCACCUUGUUAACAGCCCCCACUGCCGUCAGUGAGAUCUGUCAAGGGUUCUGGUUGCAAAACAUUGAUUUUAUAA